RNAcentral lists this ribosomal RNA (253 nucleotides) under uncultured microorganism. RNAcentral's name for it is "partial 16S ribosomal RNA". It matches the Rfam family "Bacterial small subunit ribosomal RNA", at positions 524 to 776 of the family's 1533-position model. The record is from RNAcentral.
UACGGAGGGUGCGAGCGUUAUUCGGAAUUACUGGGCGUAAAGCGCGUGUAGGCGGCAGGGCAAGUCUGGUGUGAAAGCCCGGGGCUCAACCCCGGAAGUGCAUUGGAAACUGCUCUGCUUGAGUACCGGAGAGGAAGGGGGAAUUCCCGGUGUAGCGGUGAAAUGCGUAGAUAUCGGGAGGAAUACCAGUGGCGAAGGCGCCCUUCUGGACGGUUACUGACGCUGAGGCUCGAAAGCGUGGGUAGCAAACAGG